AUAUCAUCGAAAUCGGUACGGGGGCGGGGCCAAAUGCUGUUUUGGCCAAUCAGGACCACCUCAUAGAGAUGAAUUGAAUCAGUGCAUCUUUAUGAGGAAAACUCAGUGUCUCCAUGUAGAGCGUGGGGACGCGGAAUGGCAGGGCACAAACGAAGGUUAACUGUUUGCUUCCCACAGAAAUCCCACAACUAAGGCAGGUUUUUGCCCCUGAGGAAAGAUGUCCUUGUUUAUUUCUACAGUAUGUAUGGAAUAAAGUAAUCAAUCCAUUUCUACAAUCAGUAAAUCAAUUCCUACAGAAAUAUUUAUUUAAAAUCAAUUUAGAAUUUCCAGAAGUGUAAAAAAAGAGAUUUCCCUAAAACCAUAUUUUAAUCUGUGAUCACACGUGUGAAAUGACAGUAAUGUGUUAUUUCCGUAUAAAUAAUGGAGCAAAUUCUAACAGAGUGUUAUGUGUAAAACGGUUUCCAUGUAUCCGCCAGCAAUAUGUAGCAAGUGACGCUGGGAGCAAAAUGGCAAAGUGAUUGAAUUGUUUUGGAAUUUUGUUGCAACUUCUCUUCUUUGCACAAUAUUAUCAUCAUUUUAUAAGAAUCGUGAGACACAGAAUCUAGUAAGAACGUACCCGUCCUUGGGUAGUUCUGUUAUUACUGUAAGUAUUUCUGUAUUGCAAUAAUAACAGGUAGGUUUGCAGACGUAGCACACAGACAUGCCUCUCCAUGUUUCAGUUGCAGAGAAUUAAAAAUCAAAUUGCAAGAUUUCGAGAAAAUGCUGAUUGGGAAAAAUGUUUCCGCUCAACAACUCAACAAUUCAGCUUAGCUUCGCCCAUCGGUUUUUGAUUUACUACAAUUCACUUGUGUCAUUUUCUAGGAAUUCAAAGUAAACGGUUUAGGUCAGAAUUGCUGUAUGAAUUGUAAACAUAAGGACUUGGAGAAUUUUCCUAUUUCGUCUGUUUUGGCCUUACAUUUGUUUCUGACAGUGAUAUAAGCAGUGACAGAAAUACAUAAUGUGUUAUCAAGUACCUAAUACAGGCUGGGGCCACGCAUUGCUUUCAGAACGACUUCAGAAAAAAAGCGUAUAGCGGGCACUGCGGUACUGGUUAUCAGAGUGAUGGAGGAGGGGGACAUCUCCUUUACAUCAAUAUCUAUAGCAAGAAAUGUGUGAGAUCUACAGAGAGUUCUCAGGGCCCUGCCAACCUAGGAAAACAUGAAUGGGGAAUGCAUUGUUUGACUAACAGAGAAUUGCGGUUAGUGGAUGAAGGUGGAAAUUUGAGCGAAGUUUGAGGACUCCAUACAAUAGUGACAGUAUGCCCGUAAAUAGUGAUAGCAUGUCAGUACAAUAGUGACAGUAUGCCGUAAAUAGUGACAGUAUGCCCGUAAAUAGUGAUAGCAUGUCAGUAUAGUAGUGACUGCAUGCCCGUACAAUAGUGAUGGCAUGCCUGUACAGUAGUGAUAGUAUGACGAUACAAUAGUGAUACACUUACAAUAACCAUAAACGUGCGAGAAGAACUGGCAUGAUUGUAGGUAUUGCUACAUCUAACUCGAGUCCUUAUUGUUGGACAUAAUUUGCUUCAUAAAUUCAGCUUGGAAUUUUACACAAUACAACACGGCAGCUCUUUCAAUAUAAUGGAUAUAUUUUACCCGCUGAUCUGUAAAUAUAUUGUAAUUAUUAAAGAGGACUGUAAGUGGUGUGCGAUGCGUCACUAUGUGCGUAUUGCGGAGCUAUAUCUCACAUGGUGGCUGAUGGGAGCAUGAAGCCCAAUUAUCUACAACAGAACACAUUCAUUGGACCAGGGGGCUUGCACUGCUUUGAUGGCUGCAGCUUUGUCAUCACUUUUUGUGUGGAACAAAUCUAACUAUUGUUACAUAAGCAUUGAAACACUGUGAUGACCAAUACAAAGAGGUGUCUGAUGCAAGCAGCAAGAGAACAACUGGACCUGUAUGGAAUCUGCGGCUUUAUAUAGCAAAGUACAUGCUGGGUCACUAUGGUCAUUGUACGCAGGAAAGGCUGGGAAACUACAUUUCAGGACAAAUGUCAUUCUUGGUUUAGUGAAUCUAUAGUAAGCAGCCAUUGUGUUAUUUAGCAUGUACCUUAACGGGGCAAUAUCCCGAGCAGAUAGCACACAUUGCAAACCUGGACAAACUUUUUUACUGCUCGUUACCGGUAAUUAAGCAUUCAGGGUAACCUGCUACACUAUGUCUGAAUACUGUCUAUUAAUAGCUGGAAAACUAAUUUGGGAAAUUGUGUCAAGAGCUAGAUCCAGUUUAUAAUCUGUGUACAGUGACUGAGCGUUUAUAAUCUGUAUAUAGUGACUGUUUAUAAUCUGUAUAUAGUGACUGUUUAGAAUCUGUAUACAGUGACUGAGCGUUUAUAAUCUGUAUAUAAUGACUUUAUAAUCUGUAUACAGUGACUGUUUAUAAUCUGUAUAUAGUGACUGAGCGUUUGUAACCUGUAUAUAGUGACUGUUUAUAAUCUGUAUA
Non-coding RNA from Pelobates cultripes (western spadefoot toad), 2471 nucleotides. NCBI's taxonomy places the organism in Eukaryota, Metazoa, Chordata, Amphibia, Anura, Pelobatidae. The record is from the annotation of a GenBank genome assembly.